GACGAACGCUGGCGGCGUGCUUAACACAUGCAAGUCGAACGGAAAGGCCCUGCUUUUGUGGGGUGCUCGAGUGGCGAACGGGUGAGUAACACGUGAGUAACCUGCCCUUGACUUUGGGAUAACUUCAGGAAACUGGGGCUAAUACCGGAUAGGAGCUCCUGCUGCAUGGUGGGGGUUGGAAAGUUUCGGCGGUUGGGGAUGGACUCGCGGCUUAUCAGCUUGUUGGUGGGGUAGUGGCUUACCAAGGCUUUGACGGGUAGCCGGCCUGAGAGGGUGACCGGCCACAUUGGGACUGAGAGACGGCCCAGACUCCUACGGGAGGCAGCAGUGGGGAAUAUUGCACAAUGGGCAGAAGCCUGAUGCAGCAACGCCGCGUGCGGGAUGACGGCCUGCGGGUUGUAAACCGCUUUCGCCUGUGACGAAGCGUGAGUGACGGUAAUGGGUAAAGAAGCACCGGCUAACUACGUG
RNAcentral lists this ribosomal RNA (468 nucleotides) under uncultured bacterium. RNAcentral describes it as "partial 16S ribosomal RNA". It matches the Rfam family "Bacterial small subunit ribosomal RNA", at positions 28 to 507 of the family's 1533-position model. The record is from RNAcentral.